This 4022-nucleotide long non-coding RNA is filed under the name Lathyrus oleraceus (garden pea). Its description in RNAcentral is "Pisum sativum (pea) long non-coding RNA (PSAT_LNC010297)". The record is from RNAcentral. Lineage: Eukaryota; Viridiplantae; Streptophyta; Magnoliopsida; Fabales; Fabaceae.
UUGGGAUGGAUCUACUGAUCUGGAAACUAUUAACACGCAGCAAGUUCAUUCAAGCACUUCUGAAAAUGCCAUGAAUUUGUCUUCGGAUGUUCAUGGUUUGCCCAAAGCUUCGGUAUCGGAUGCUGAGAUCAAGCCAAAUGAUCUACCUUAUCAUAAUGGUGUUGAACAUGUCCAUGCUUCAUACCUCAAACCUGCGGGUUUUGUCUCCAAACAAGAAAAAUAAAGUGCGCAUCAGUUUAAUAAUAAUAAUUAGACCAUGCUACGAAACUGUUACUAUCAUGUCAAGUUUGGAACAUAAGAAAGCAAGCUAUUGAUAGAAAGUUCUUUGAAUAAAACAAAGACAAAAGGAAAGGUUCUAAAACUUACAAUCUCCUACACACACUUUAGUGUGUCUGCUGUUGGGAGGAUCGUGACCAAUUGUUCAAGGAAGUAGAAGGGAUUAUCAGAAGGCAUAUUAACAUGUCGGUUCUCCCUAGUGUCCAAUCAUUCCAUGAAAUAGCAUAUCCACUGUGGUUGACAUCAGCUAUCUGUGAGAUUUGGUUCGCGUUAUCCGGGAUUUUGGAUCAGUUUCCAAAGUGGUCGCCCAUUAACCGUGAGAUUUAUCUUGACAGGCUUGCUAUAAGAUAUGAUCGUGACGGAGAACCAUCACAGUUGGCCUUUAUUGACGUUUCCGUCAGUACAGAGAACCCUCUCAAGGAGCCGCCUCUUAUCACUGCAAAUACUGUUUUGUCUAUACUCUCCGUUGAUUACCCUGCCGACAAGGUUUUCUGCUAUGUAUCAGAUGAUGGUUCAGCUAUGACAUUGUCGCACCUCAAGAAAUAGAAUCAUUUUAGAAUUUUCAAUUAGAACACACCAUAGAGUGCCAAAUUAGAAUCAAAUCAACUUAGUCAUAUACCUAAACCAUAAGGACCUAAUCAGCUCAAACAUCACACAUUUCUCUCUUGAGAUCAUUCAUUACUAUCAUACCCCGAUUUUGGCCCUGAAAAUUUUCCCAAUCAAUCAUUCAUUUGCAUUCCUCCUCAUGACCAUUUCAUCUGGUCAUGAGGCUGUCCACCCACUUUUUUUUGUUUAGACAUUGCCAUCAUUUGUCGUUCCAUAACUUUCGGAUUGUCACCUUUUCAUUUGACCUUAGAUGUUUGAUCUCCAUAGUCGAGUAAGACUUAGAAUCUCUUUCUCAUUUGAUAGGAUCUGGUGGAAUAUCAUGACUUUCAUUCUUAUGUCUAAAUCCAAUCCACGUUUUGUCUUCCUCAUAAAACAUUAUCUUUUUUUGUUCCAAUAUAUUAUCCAUGUGACGUUUGCUUUUACGUUGUCAUAUUCUUAGUACUCACUCCUUUUUCAAUGAAUUUAUGUGUCGAGUGCAAAACGUUGUUGUUUUUGGUCAUCAUACGUUUCAAUAUCCAUAUCUUAAGUCCAUUUUUUAAAUCCAAGUUUCAUUCCAAAUCCAUUAUCUAUUUUUCUUAUUUGUAUCCAUUCAAAUAACCAAUCAUCCAAUUUCACAUUACAAUUAAUCCAUAAACCUUUUAAUGGACGUUUUCAUUUACAAUAUUAUUUAUCAAUAAAGAAAUAAAACAAGCAGGAUUUUGGCCAUUAUACCUUGUGAGCAAGGUCGACUGGACAUGGCAAUUUUACACUACAAACAAGUUGUUACAUGUGACCCCAGAUUUUGGAAGCUUACAAUAAUUUAGGUUUUGCUUUGAGAGAUGUAGACAGGGUGGAAGUGUUCCAUCCAGCGUUUGGCAGGACAAGAUUUCAAAUGCUAAUAAAAGAUUGCUACUAGAGUUACAAAAUAAUCAAUUUGCAAACAUAUCAGGCGCUACUAAUCUUCCUCCAAAUGUCACACUCUUGCUUGAUGGGAAUCCUCUGUGCUCAGAUAACACAUUCAAUCAGUUCUGUAAACUUGAAAGAGCUCCACAUUUCAAUGCAUUUGAGGAAUAUUUGACUUCUAAUCUUAAGCUAUAUGCCAAUCAACUGAGCUAUGCUUUUGAGUGGCUAGUAGGACCAUGAUUGCUAAUGAUCUUGAAGUUUUUUUUCCUGAAUAUGUUGAUAACAAUAGCUCGCGCACUUUCUGUUCAAGUGAAAUCCAACGGAUCAGAAACAUGUUCACUAGAUGGGUCAUUCCUAAUCGUGAUUUGUUCAGGACUGAGACCUCGUCCAAUUCAGGCCUAAGCACAGGUGCUUUGUUUGGUAUGAUCUUAAUCCAACUGUCAGCAAGCAUCCGCUGUUGUCAUUCUCUCCCCGAAGUUGCCGCUUCCAUCACUUGAAUCUCCGACGAUAUUGUUAUUAUUUGUGUGGCCUUCAUGCUGUGUAGUUGUGCUGCUGGAAGAGAAUCCACAAACAGUCCUACUCAGUCACAUACAUUGCAAUAUGAAUUAGGGACAUCAAAGAGCUUCCUCCACACCGACUGGCUGAAAUAAGAAGAUUAUAUGAAGACUACAAAAAGAAAGAGAACAACAACAAAAUACAGCAUCGCUUCAAUUUCAUAGUUUCAUAGCAAUUCUCGCCAAAAAAACCAAACUUUCACCUCAAAACUUCUGUAUACUCUUCUCAAUUUCACACUUCCAGGUGAGCAAGAUAAACGGUGUUCUUAUCCAUGUUGCAAGUGUAUCUGAACUUAUGAAGGAUGGAAAACAAACUCUUCUCAAUUUCACACUUCCAGGUGAGCAAGAUAAACGGUGUUCUUAUCCAUGUUGCAAGUGUAUCUGAACUUAUGAAGGAUGGAAAACAUAGUUGGUGCGAUGUUGUCGGACACUAUUUUUCUCCAAAAAAAAAACAUGCAUGUAACACCAUCUAGUUUCUAUUGAUUGGUUGAAGAGUAGGAAAGAUUAGAAGCUGGUUGGAAUAGUGGGCUCUGUUUACUGUUGUUUGAGCUGCGAUGAUGUAGAAGAUUAUGUGAACCCAAAUAAUCCUGCGUGUAGGAACGACAUGUGUCUCAGUUGCUUGGUACAUAAUCUUUUGAAUGUGUGUGCAUCAAUAUUCCGAAGAGGCGAAGCACUUUCAAUUUCUUCAUCUCUUUAAGGAACAACAUCCAUGACAUCUGUAGCAUCACUUGAUAAUUCUCCAUCGGACAUGUACCGUUCUCCUCCAAGGCCCUUACCAUAUGAUGCAGAGCCUCUAAACUCAACAGACAAAUGGAAUGAAUGUGCCCGAGAAGAUGAAUUGAAGAUAUACCGUUCUAAGUCUGCAUCAAGAACUUUCAUCAGCAAAAUACACACUUGGAGUUGGGCUUGUUUACACGUCAUCAUCAGAAGAAGAGGAUAUCUGUCCAACUUGCCUUGAAGAAUACACUAAAGAGAAUCCCAAGAUAAUGACAAAAUGCUCUCAUCAUUUUCACCUUAGCUGCAUCUAUGAGUGGAUGGAGAGAAGUGACAACUAUCCAGUUUGUGGAAAGGAGAUGGAAUUCGAUGAGACAAUAUACUCUUGAUAAUCUGGAGGUGGAUAAAGGCAACAUCUAAAGAUAGUAGUCAGGCUGCAGUGAAAAGAAAAAUCACUAAGAAUCAAAGAGAAUUUGAAUUUGAAGUCAGUAUUCUAGGAAUAAUUCAACACAAAAAAUACCGUGUAUCCCGUACUUGGGAUGGAUCUACUGAUCUGGAAACUAUUAACACGCAGCAAGUUCAUUCAAGCACUUCUGAAAAUGCCAUGAAUUUGUCUUCGGAUGUUCAUGGUUUGCCCAAAGCUUCGGUAUCGGAUGCUGAGAUCAAGCCAAAUGAUCUACCUUAUCAUAAUGGUGUUGAACAUGUCCAUGCUUCAUACCUCAAACCUGCGGGUUUUGUCUCCAAACAAGAAAAAUAAAGUGCGCAUCAGUUUAAUAAUAAUAAUUAGACCAUGCUACGAAACUGUUACUAUCAUGUCAAGUUUGGAACAUAAGAAAGCAAGCUAUUGAUAGAAAGUUCUUUGAAUAAAACAAAGACAAAAGGAAAGGUUCUAAAACUUACAAUCUCCUACACACACUUUAGUGUGUCUGCUGUUGGGAGGAUCGUGACCAAUUGUUCAAGGAAGUAGAAGGGAUUAUCAGAAGGCAUAUU